AUGGAACAUCACCACUUACAGACCUGUGCUGGGAGCUGAGUGGGAUCAUCAAACUAGCAUGAGAGCCUAAAUCAAGAGCAUAGAGAGAUGGCGACCUCAGGACCAAGGACAAGGAAUCCAGCUCAGGCCAGGAACUUGCUGAAAGAUCCCAUGGGUGACUCAGGCAGGCUCCAGGGAAGCUUUUCUGGCACAAGAGCUGGGAGACACUUCAGAAUGUCCCAGUGCCUUAGACAAGCAUCAGGGAGCCUCCCAGUAGGGAGGCCGAGCAGCUGCCCUGCCCAAGGGUUUCAAGCAGGAGAGAGAAGAAAGACGCCGUGAAGGUGACAAGUGUGACCAAAACUCCAGCCCGGUAUUUUGCCCAGGGAUUUCCUCUCCCAAGACAAACAUCUGGCAGUAGUCAACAGGAUUCCUCUGAACUUGAAAUCUAUUAUAAUGGGUGCCACUUUUGGGAGGGCCGCCCCAAGAAGUGAUGAGGAGAAGUGGCACUCGCGCAGAGGGACAUGUGUCUACACUCAUGUGGUCGUGGAGGUGCCACCACUCCUGCUGGCCAUGCCCACCCUGGCCCGUGGCCUGAGCCUAAGGCUACUGCUUCUGCCACUGCUGCUGCUCCUGCUACCGGCUGAAGCCUGGCCACAACCAUGGAAAGGAGCAGAG
Manis javanica (Malayan pangolin) is the source of this 654-nucleotide non-coding RNA. Lineage: Eukaryota; Metazoa; Chordata; Mammalia; Pholidota; Manidae. The record is from RefSeq and is a predicted model, not a curated record.